UCAGCAGGUCUUGGCUCUUUUCCUGGAGGUU
Molecule: non-coding RNA, 31 nt
Filed under: Mus musculus (house mouse)
Lineage: Eukaryota; Metazoa; Chordata; Mammalia; Rodentia; Muridae
Source: RNAcentral